CCACAAAGAUUUCAACAAAGGGAUGCAAAAAUGAAAAUUAGAGCUAAUCCUUAAAUAAAAUCAUAGUUCAGAUAAGAAUCUGGAACUCGAUUCUUUGAAGACGGAAUUGCUAAUAAUCGUCUAUCAGCAUGAGACGGUGAAACGCCCAUCUGUAAUGUACUAACUACUCGUCAAGCGCGGAAAUUUAUAGGGGAUACUAAAUUUUACGACUAUUUCCUAGAGAUCUGUGCUAAG
Molecule: ribosomal RNA, 234 nt
Filed under: Pneumocystis sp.
Lineage: Eukaryota; Fungi; Ascomycota; Pneumocystomycetes; Pneumocystales; Pneumocystaceae
Description: partial small subunit ribosomal RNA
Rfam family: Bacterial small subunit ribosomal RNA
Source: RNAcentral